GCGGGCGGGGAGGCGAGGGGCGGGGGAGGGGACGCGGGCCGGGGAGGGGAGGGGAGGGGAGGGGAGGGGGCGGCGGGGAGCGCGGACGCGGGGCCGGUCAGGGAGCGGCGGGGCGCGUGUGCAGCCCUCCGAGCGGCCUCCUGCGCGCCGGGGCCCCGCGCCCGCCGCCGCCGCCGCCGCCGCUGCUGCCGCCGCUGCCGAAGCUGAUGCUGCUGCUGCCGCCGCUGCCGAAGCUGAUGCUGCUGCUGAAGCUGCUGCCGCUGCCGCUCCCGCUGCCGCUGCUCCCGCUGCUCCCGCCGCCGCCCGCCGCCUGCAUGCGCUCCAGCCGCGCCGGCAUCCUCGGGGCGCCCUCCCGCCGGGCCUCGCCCCGGAUCAGGGGCCGCGCCGGGCGCCGGGGAGCCGCAUUCCGACACAGGGGUCCCGCGGCGGCGGCUCGGCGCACCUGUUCUUAGCCGGCCCGCAGCCAACCCUCGGCCGGCGCUCCCCGGGAGAGACCAAUCCGAGCGCAGCGCGGAGGGCGAGCGGCCGGGCUCGCCUCCUCUGCCGCCGCCGCCGCCGGGGACCCCAAGUCCGCGAGCCCGGGAGCCGGAGGCUCUGAGAAUGAGAAGCUGAGGAUGCCCGCCUCCUGGGACACCUCCCCAGCACCGCAAGACUGGCGCCCAUGCAGGAGCCAGCGUCCCCUUGUACCCUCAGAGCCUCCACGGGGACGAAGUUUUCAAGACUACAGCAAGAUUUCAUCUGGCAAUUCACAUGCUUCUCACCACUCCCCGAUCAGGUUCAGCGUAAGAGAGAAGAUGGAACAUCAUGAAGUCAUUCCCUCUUUUGUCUCCAGACAUGGUGUCAGAAGUGUCAUCCUGGAGAAAGAGAACACCGCACAUCAAAGUUGGUCCAUCACACCGGGCUUUCAAAGAAGCCAUAAACUGAGUUGCAAAGACUUUGGUUAAGCUAAGCCAAAGGUCAAAUAUCAUUUCUGAAAACACUGGAAUCAAAUAUUUGAUAGAUUUAGAAAAAUAUGUGUCCACAAAGCAAUAGGUACAACUGAUACUGUGACCAGUAAAUUUUUUAUUCUUUCAUGUGAUUAAGGAUAUGAGCAGUGGGAAAUGCACUGAACAAAUAGUUAGGAAACUAACUAAAGGCUGGAAUCCUCACUACUCCAAUAAUUAUAUGAUACUCUGGGUCUCAGUUAUAUUGGCCCAUAAAAUGUGGGAAGCACUGCCUAACUCCAGGAUAAUUAUGAUGCUAACAUGGAAAACAAAUGUAAAUAUAUUUUGCGAAUUUUAAAACAUUGUACAUAUAUUAAAAAUUGUUCAAGUUCUAUCAAUGCAUGUGAUUAGUGAAAAGUCACUAUUUUCAAUGGUACCUUUAUACUGGAUGAUACAGAGGAUAUAUGAAUCUCAUCCUUUAAUAAAUUUUCAAACUGAAAUAUGGAAAAAAUGUUUAACAAAUUUAACAGUUUGUGUCGGGAUUUAUUCUUUUAUUCAGCAGGGCACCUCUCUCCCCCCAGAUGACAAUUGCUCUCUGAUAUAUAUAUCAGGGGUAGGGGCUAUGCCAUUCCUUGAAAACUGUUGCCUUGGACAAGUUUAUUAAAAAGAAGAAGAAGUCCUGUCUCCACUGUCAUUCUUUGCCCUGAGGGAUUGGAGUGGAAGUAAGGAGACUGAUGUUGAUCCUGCCGCUGUCUUAGACUGCCUUCAUUUAGCCCAUAACCCUUUUCUUUGGAAUCUUUUGUAUAAUCUUGUCCAUUCCUCUCAGUGCUGCUAGGGCUGGGGAUUUGAAGCUCAUGUCUUUCACAGCCCUGUUUUCAGUCCUUUCUAUUAGUGGUGGUGGCUUGAUCCAACUGAGUUGAAAGAAAAGUGUAAUAAAUGGGUAGUAAAUGGGUCCUCUACAAACAUGACAGAUUGCUAAUCAGUUCAGGAAUAUUUAGGGAUCUAGUAACUCCACAGACUCAUUUUUAUCAUCAAUUUAUUGAUGGGCUAUUGCAUUAUAUAUUAAAGAACUCUCACAUUAGGAACCUAUAAAAUAAUAUAGUCUACAUACCAGUCAAGGGUUUAUUCUGGAUAUCAACGUAUUUCAUUUUUUGGUAAAGAAAAAUAAUUAGAAUAAUAAUAAAUAUUAAAUGUGAGCAAUAUAAUGGAGUAAGGUCCUCUGAAAAUUCUCUCCUCUAUACAAACGAUGAGAAAACUGGCAAAAAUUGUCAGAAUCAACUUUUUUUUAGAACUCUGGAAAUAAAUCAGAGCAGCAAUCUGGAGAGCAUUUAUUCAAGAUAAAAAUGGCUGGAUCUUGGUAAGAACUGAAAGACUGUCCUAGUUCCAUCCCUCUUUCUCUAUCUUGACAUAGCCUGAAAAACCUAUAGCCUGUAAGCACAGUGAAAACCACCAGACUGGAAGAGGCAAAAUGGACCCAAAGAAAGCUUUUAAAAGCCUUAUUGCCAGAGAAUUGUCAUUAUUUGACCGACUUGGUGGUUCCCUGAGAAUCUAAUUAUGAAGCUGAAUUUAUUUUAUAUGACUCAGAG
Molecule: long non-coding RNA, 2509 nt
Filed under: Canis lupus familiaris (dog)
Lineage: Eukaryota; Metazoa; Chordata; Mammalia; Carnivora; Canidae
Description: lncRNA (ENSCAFG00030001549.1)
Source: RNAcentral